This is a long non-coding RNA of Passer montanus (Eurasian tree sparrow), 361 nucleotides long. RefSeq lists it as uncharacterized. The transcript has 3 exons. The record is from RefSeq and is a predicted model, not a curated record. Lineage: Eukaryota; Metazoa; Chordata; Aves; Passeriformes; Passeridae.
GACUUUCUUUUCUCCUCCUUUUUUCCCCACCCCAAGCUUCUCUGCGUUUUGUAUCCCCGUUGUUUAAGCUUUGGCAAGGCCCCAGAGGAAAUGAAUCCCAGAAACUUUCCUGGUGCAGUAAGAGCAAACCAAAGGAGCAGGCAAAGAGGACACAGGCAGCAGGAAUGUCAUCUCUUACAUGGACAAGACCAAGAAAGGAAUGAGGGGCCCUCACUGGAUGGCGGCUGCAGGACACCUAAAUCUUUCAGAGAAAGGGAAUUUAUUGCUCCCUUAUCAGCAGAAAACUAACUUCUUCCCACCUUGCUCAGACUGGGAGACGGCAUGAGGAUUAAGAGGAAGAAGUUGACAGUGACCAGACAGA